CAGUAGCCGCGGUAAUACGUAGGGUGCAAGCGUUAAUCGGAAUUACUGGGCGUAAAGCGUGCGCAGGCGGUUUGUUAAGACAGAUGUGAAAUCCCCGGGCUCAACCUGGGAACUGCAUUUGUGACUGGCAAGCUAGAGUCUGGCAGAGGGGGGUGGAAUUCCGCGUGUAGCAGUGAAAUGCGUAGAUAUGCGGAGGAACACCGAUGGCGAAGGCAGCCCCCUGGGCCAACACUGACGCUCAUGCACGAAAGCGUGGGGAGCAAACAGGAUUAGAUACCCCUGUAGUCCCUGUCUCUUAUAU
RNAcentral lists this ribosomal RNA (301 nucleotides) under uncultured bacterium. RNAcentral describes it as "partial 16S ribosomal RNA". It matches the Rfam family "Bacterial small subunit ribosomal RNA", at positions 509 to 809 of the family's 1533-position model. The record is from RNAcentral.